UUAAUUAUGUUAACAUACAGUGUUAUACUGGUUUCAGGCGUACAAUGUAGUAAUUCAACACUUCCAUACAACACCCCGUGCUUAUCACAAGUGCCCUCCUUAAUCCCCAUCACCUAUUUCACCCAUCCCCCACCCACCUCC
Molecule: long non-coding RNA, 141 nt
Organism: Leopardus geoffroyi (Geoffroy's cat)
Lineage: Eukaryota; Metazoa; Chordata; Mammalia; Carnivora; Felidae
Exons: 3
Source: RefSeq, a predicted model, not a curated record